GAUGAACGCUGGCGGCGUGCUUAACACAUGCAAGUCGAACGAAGCAUUUAGGACAGAUUACUUCGGUUUGAAGUUCUUUAUGACUGAGUGGCGGACGGGUGAGUAACGCGUGGGUAACCUGCCUCGUACUGGGGGAUAGCAGCUGGAAACGGCUGGUAAUACCGCAUAAGCGCACAAUGCUGCAUGACAUGGUGUGAAAAACUCCGGUGGUAUAAGAUGGACUCGCGUCUGAUUAGCUAGUUGGUGAGAUAACAGCCCACCAAGGAGACGAUCAGUAGCCGACGUGAGAGGGUGACCGGCCACAUUGGGACUGAGACACGGCCGAGACUCAUACGGGAGGGAGCAGUGGGGAAUAUUGCAAAAUGGAGGAGACUCUGAUGCAGCGACGGCGCGUGAGUGAAGAAGUAAUUCGUUAUGUAAAGCUCUAUCAGCAGGGAAGAUAGUGACGGUACCUGACGAAGAAGCACCGGCUAAAUACGUG
This 481-nucleotide ribosomal RNA is filed under the name uncultured bacterium. RNAcentral describes it as "partial 16S ribosomal RNA". It matches the Rfam family "Bacterial small subunit ribosomal RNA", at positions 28 to 507 of the family's 1533-position model. The record is from RNAcentral.